This 606-nucleotide long non-coding RNA is filed under the name Coffea arabica (coffee). Its description in RNAcentral is "long non-coding RNA (CARA_LNC007605)". The record is from RNAcentral. Lineage: Eukaryota; Viridiplantae; Streptophyta; Magnoliopsida; Gentianales; Rubiaceae.
GUGGGGGAGGUGAGUUACUGGGAGGAGGUGGCGGUGAAUUUCGUGGAGGUUUAGAUGCUGGAGGUGGAGGCGAAUUCUGCGGUGGCUUUGAUGACGGUGGGGGAGGAGAAUUCUGCGGUGGCUUUGAUGCUGGUGGGGGAGGUGAAUUCCUAGGUGGCUGGCUAGAUGGUGGUGGUGGUGAACUCCCAGGUGGUUUUGAAGCUGGAGGAGGUGGUGGAGGGGAACUUGUAGGAGGAUUGGCGGAUGGUGGAGGAGGUGAACUGGUUGGAGGAUUACUUGACGGAGGUGGUGGUGAACUCUGUGGUGGUAUGGAUACUGGAGGAGGUGGUGAACUAGACUGUGGAGGGGGUGUAGUAGCUUGUGGAGGUGGUGGUGAACUCUGUGGUGGUACGGAUGCUGGAGGAGGGGGUGAACUAGACUGUGGAGGGGGUGAAGUAGCUUGUGGAGGUGGGGAUGCAGACGAUGGAGGUGGUGAUGAGGUUGCAGGUGGAUUUGAUGACGGUGGAGGAGGACUAGAGGCUGGAGGCGGAGCUGUAGAUUGGGGAGGUGUAGAUGAUGAAGUAGGAGGUGGGGAAGCCAUAGGAGGUUGCUGUGUCGGAGAAGGUG